CCUACGGGCGGCAGCAGUGGGGAAUAUUGGACAAUGGGCGAAAGCCUGAUCCAGCCAUGCCGCGUGUGUGAAGAAGGCCUUCGGGUUGUAAAGCACUUUCAGUGGGGAAGAAAGCCUUGGGGCUAAUACCCUCGAGGAAGGACAUCACCCACAGAAGAAGCACCGGCUAACUCCGUGCCAGCAGCCGCGGUAAUACGGAGGGUGCGAGCGUUAAUCGGAAUUACUGGGCGUAAAGCGCGCGUAGGCGGUCUGAUAAGCCGGUUGUGAAAGCCCCGGGCUCAACCUGGGAACGGCAUCCGGAACUGUCAGGCUAGAGUGCAGGAGAGGAAGGUAGAAUUCCCGGUGUAGCGGUGAAAUGCGUAGAGAUCGGGAGGAAUACCAGUGGCGAAGGCGGCCUUCUGGACUGACACUGACGCUGAGGUGCGAAAGCGUGGGUAGCAAACAGGAUUAAUACCGUGUAGUC
Molecule: ribosomal RNA, 463 nt
Filed under: Vreelandella stevensii
Lineage: Bacteria; Pseudomonadati; Pseudomonadota; Gammaproteobacteria; Oceanospirillales; Halomonadaceae
Description: partial 16S ribosomal RNA
Rfam family: Bacterial small subunit ribosomal RNA
Source: RNAcentral